This 1225-nucleotide ribosomal RNA is filed under the name Cyrtosiini gen. sp. MDT-2010. RNAcentral describes it as "eukaryotic LSU rRNA". It matches the Rfam family "Eukaryotic large subunit ribosomal RNA", at positions 2357 to 3340 of the family's 3401-position model. The record is from RNAcentral. Lineage: Eukaryota; Metazoa; Arthropoda; Insecta; Diptera; Bombyliidae.
CAGCGAAACCACAGCCAAGGGAACGGGCUUGGAAUAAUUAGCGGGGAAAGAAGACCCUAUUGAGCUUGACUCUAGUCUGGCAGUGUAAGGAGACAUAAGAGGUGUAGCAUAAGUGGGAGAUUAUAUAAUACAUUCGCGUGUUUAUAUAGUCAACAAUGAAAUACCACUACUCUUAUUGUUUCCUUACUUACUUGAUGAAGUGGAACGUGUAUCAUUUACUUAGCCAUUAUAUGGAUGUAUUUUAUUAUAUAUUUUAUGGUAUUUUGUUUUGGUGCAAGCUUCUUGAUCAAAGUACAAAGAGUUUGUUAUACACACCAAACAAAUUGAAAUGAAAUUUUGUGUGUGCUAAACAAUUUAUUGUUGGGCACAUUCAAUGAAAGUAAUUGAAUUUGGUAUGACUCUUACACUCAGGUAUGAUCCAAUUCAAGGACAUUGCCAGGUGGGGAGCUUGACUGGGGCGGUACAUCUCUCAAAUAAUAACGGAGGUGUCCCAAGGCCAGCUCAGUGCGGACAGAAACCACACAUAGAGCAAAAGGGCAAAUGCUGACUUGAUCUCGGAGUUCAGUACACUCAGGGACAGCAAAAGCUCGGCCUAUCGAUCCUUUUGGUUUAAGGAGUUUUUAACAAGAGGUGUCAGAAAAGUUACCAUAGGGAUAACUGGCUUGUGGCGGCCAAGCGUUCAUAGCGACGUUGCCUUUUUGAUCCUUCGAUGUCGGCUCUUCCUAUCAUUGUGAAGCAAAAUUCACCAAGCGUUGGAUUGUUCACCCAUGCAAGGUAACGUGAGCUGGGUUUAGACCGUCGUGAGACAGGUUAGUUUUACCCUACUGAUGACAUAAGUUAUUGCGACAGCAUUCCUGCGUAGUACGAGAGGAACCGCAGGUACGGACCAAUGGCACAAUACUUGUUCGAGCGAACAGUGGUAUGACGCUACGUCCGUUGGAUUAUGCCUGAACGCCUCUAAGGUCGUAUCCGUGCUGGACUGCAAUAAUAGUAAUGGGGCGAUUGCGUUGUAAGGCAACAAACCAUUUAAAAGCAUGCAGUCUUGAACUGUAUGCGAAAAUGGCUAUCAUAUUGAUGCCGAUGUUUCAUAUAACAUAGCCAAUUCUGGUUGUACAUUAGCAUCCGGAAUGCUCGUGCUAGUUAUUUGUGAAAUAUUCUUAUUCAAUACGAUGACAAUGCCUAGAAUCAAUUGUAAACGACUUUGGUAACGGGCAAGGUGUUGUAA